RNAcentral lists this long non-coding RNA (502 nucleotides) under Oryctolagus cuniculus (rabbit). RNAcentral's name for it is "lncRNA (ENSOCUG00000036854.1)". The record is from RNAcentral. Lineage: Eukaryota; Metazoa; Chordata; Mammalia; Lagomorpha; Leporidae.
AUGAUCAAAAGGUGAUCAGGUGGUACAGAUGUUUCCACCUCAACACCCUCCCUUCGGCAAAGAAUUGACUUGCUAAUUUCAUUUGGAACCUUAAAACAACAUGAAAGAUCAUAUUCUAUGGCAUAACUACUGCUACAAGGCUCAACUUCGAGGCCACCCAUGUGCUGGUGGGAGAUUUGAAGUCAGGAUUACCCUCGCCAUCUGGAUUUUUUAAGCAAACCUACUUCUCUACCUCAGAUUCAACAGGCAUGAAUUCUGAAAAAAACAAUUCUCUACCCCCUUUUACUGGUUUUCUUUUUCAGAAAUGCCCUUUUCUGAAGAAAAUAAAUGAAGUCAAUGACAGUUAUGACUUAAAUUGACUUUAUUGUAUCCAUCAACUUAUUCUUAGGUUUAUAGUAACACAACAUUUAAUGUGAGUUUAUUGUUUUCUCAGUCUCUUGGUGCUUUUUCAGAGUUAAAUAGUCUACAAGGAGCACUUCAAUUCUGUUCUUGAGUUAAAUUU